GGGGGCGCUGGGGUGAUUAGCAUCAUGCAGGGCAUGUGAUUCUGACACCCUCUUCUGUGGUGGGGGUGAUUCUGUAGAAAGGAGUUUCUCCAAUAAAGCAGAGCUUCUCUUUCAACUCCAUGGACAUCAGAGAGAGUCCCUUUCAAAAAAGGAGGCUCAGGUCUGGAGAGACAAAGGCCUCUACUUUCGAAAAGGCCUCUUGGAUCAAGCCCAGCUCUGUCGGAGCAUUCUGAACAAUCACAGUAAGAGAAAUGCAAUGACAGCCAUGCUUCAUCUCCAGCUGUUUCCUGAGAAGAUGACAGACCCUCAUCAGAGCUGACAACAUGUCCAGCCUGCACUACUGCAAGAACUUCUUUGUCUAUGGUAGUGUGGUCAACUGAAGAAGCCGGCUUAGUUGCUCCAGUCAGGUGCUCACACUAAGAAAGGAUGGGUGAAGGUUAUAAAGUGGCUGUGAAUGAGAACUCGGUCUGGGCUCUACCAAGCAGAGAAGCCAUGCAGAGAUGAGAAAGGUGAAAGCCAUGAAACCAUGUUAAGCAGAAAAAUAAAAAUUCAAAACAGAA
This 560-nucleotide long non-coding RNA is filed under the name Homo sapiens (human). RNAcentral describes it as "long intergenic non-protein coding RNA 2156". The record is from RNAcentral. Lineage: Eukaryota; Metazoa; Chordata; Mammalia; Primates; Hominidae.